UGGGGAAUUGUUCACAAUGGGCGCAAGCCUGAUGACGCAACGCCGCGUGGGGGAUGAAGGCCUUCGGGUCGUAAACCCCUGUCGAAUGGGACGAAUAGCCCGCGAUUUAACAAAACGCGGGAUUGACGGUACCGUUAAAGGAAGCCACGGCUAACUCUGUGCCCGCAGCCGCGGUAAUACAGAGGUGGCAAGCGUUGUUCGGAAUUACUGGGCGUAAAGGGCGCGUAGGCGGCUCGAUAAGUCAAAGGUGAAAUCCCUCGGCUCAACUGAGGAACUGCCUUUGAAACUGUCGAGCUUGAGUCCGGGAGGGGGUGGCGGAAUUCCCAGUGUAGCGGUGAAAUGCGUAGAUAUUGGGAGGAGCACCAGUGGCGAAAGCGGCUACCUGGACCGGAACUGACGCUGAUGCGCGAAAGCGUGGGUAGCAAA
Molecule: ribosomal RNA, 426 nt
Filed under: uncultured bacterium
Lineage: Bacteria
Description: bacterial SSU rRNA
Rfam family: Bacterial small subunit ribosomal RNA
Source: RNAcentral